AUUGAACGCUGGCGGCAGGCUUAACACAUGCAAGUCGAGCGGGGAAAGGUAGCUUGCUACCUGACCUAGCGGCGGACGGGUGAGUAAUGCUUAGGAAUCUGCCUAUUAGUGGGGGACAACAUCUCGAAAGGGAUGCUAAUACCGCAUACGUCCUACGGGAGAAAGCCGGGGACCUUCGGGCCUUGCGCUAAUAGAUGAGCCUAAGUCGGAUUAGCUAGUUGGUGGGGUAAAGGCCUACCAAGGCGACGAUCUGUAGCGGGUCUGAGAGGAUGAUCCGCCACACUGGGACUGAGACACGGCCCAGACUCCUACGGGAGGCAGCAGUGGGGAAUAUUGGACAAUGGGGGGAACCCUGAUCCAGCCAUGCCGCGUGUGUGAAGAAGGCCUUUUGGUUGUAUAGCACUUUAAGCGAGGAGGAGGCUACCGAGAUUAAUACUCUUGGAUAGUGGACGUUACUCGCAGAAUAAGCACCGGCUAACUCUGUG
This 485-nucleotide ribosomal RNA is filed under the name uncultured bacterium. RNAcentral's name for it is "partial 16S ribosomal RNA". It matches the Rfam family "Bacterial small subunit ribosomal RNA", at positions 30 to 507 of the family's 1533-position model. The record is from RNAcentral.